GAACGGGUGAGUAAUACAUCGGAACGUGCCUAGUAGUGGGGGAUAACUACUCGAAAGAGUGGCUAAUACCGCAUGAGAUCUACGGAUGAAAGCAGGGGAUCGCAAGACCUUGUGCUACUAGAGCGGCCGAUGGCAGAUUAGGUAGUUGGUGGGAUAAAAGCUUACCAAGCCGACGAUCUGUAGCUGGUCUGAGAGGACGAUCAGCCACACUGGGACUGAGACACGGCCCAGACUCCUACGGGAGGCAGCAGUGGGGAAUUUUGGACAAUGGGCGCAAGCCUGAUCCAGCAAUGCCGCGUGCAGGAUGAAGGCCUUCGGGUUGUAAACUGCUUUUGUACGGAACGAAAAGCCCUGGGUUAAUACCCUGGGGUCAUGACGGUACCGUAAGAAUAAGCACCGGCUAACUACGUGCCAGCAGCCGCGGUAAUACGUAGGGUGCGAGCGUUAAUCGGAAUUACUGGGCGUAAAGCGUGCGCAGGCGGUUUUGUAAGACAGAGGUGAAAUCCCCGGGCUCAACCUGGGAACUGCCUUUGUGACUGCAAGGCUAGAGU
This 551-nucleotide ribosomal RNA is filed under the name Comamonas aquatica. RNAcentral's name for it is "bacterial SSU rRNA". It matches the Rfam family "Bacterial small subunit ribosomal RNA", at positions 100 to 647 of the family's 1533-position model. The record is from RNAcentral. Lineage: Bacteria; Pseudomonadati; Pseudomonadota; Betaproteobacteria; Burkholderiales; Comamonadaceae.